RNAcentral lists this ribosomal RNA (454 nucleotides) under uncultured bacterium. Its description in RNAcentral is "bacterial SSU rRNA". It matches the Rfam family "Bacterial small subunit ribosomal RNA", at positions 29 to 527 of the family's 1533-position model. The record is from RNAcentral.
AACGAACGCUGGCGGCAGGCCUAACACAUGCAAGUCGAACGCCCUAGCAAUAGGGAGUGGCAGACGGGUGAGUAACACGUGGGAACCUUCCCUAUAGUACGGAAUAUACCAGGGAAACUUGGAGCAAUACCGUAUACGCCCGAGAGGGGAAAGAUUUAUCGCUAUAGGAUGGGCCCGCGUAGGAUUAGCUAGUUGGUGAGGUAAUGGCUCACCAAGGCGACGAUCCUUAGCUGGUUUGAGAGAACGACCAGCCACACUGGGACUGAGACACGGCCCAGACUCCUACGGGAGGCAGCAGUGGGGAAUAUUGGACAAUGGGCGCAAGCCUGAUCCAGCCAUGCCGCGUGAGUGAUGAAGGCCUUAGGGUUGUAAAGCUCUUUUUGCCGGGGACGAUAAUGACGGUACCCGGAGAAUAAGUCCCGGCUAACUUCGUGCCAGCAGCCGCCGCCGUAAG